This 71-nucleotide transfer RNA is filed under the name Moolgarda crenilabis (fringelip mullet). RNAcentral's name for it is "Crenimugil crenilabis (fringelip mullet) tRNA-Pro". It matches the Rfam family "tRNA". Rfam says of the family: Transfer RNA (tRNA) molecules are approximately 80 nucleotides in length. Their secondary structure includes four short double-helical elements and three loops (D, anti-codon, and T loops). Further hydrogen bonds mediate the characteristic L-shaped molecular structure. tRNAs have two regions of fundamental functional importance: the anti-codon, which is responsible for specific mRNA codon recognition, and the 3' end, to which the tRNAs corresponding amino acid is attached (by aminoacyl-tRNA synthetases). tRNAs cope with the degeneracy of the genetic code in two manners: having more than one tRNA (with a specific anti-codon) for a particular amino acid; and 'wobble' base-pairing, i.e. permitting non-standard base-pairing at the 3rd anti-codon position. The record is from RNAcentral. RNAcentral also lists the same sequence under 1 other name. Lineage: Eukaryota; Metazoa; Chordata; Actinopteri; Mugiliformes; Mugilidae.
CAAGGAGUAGUUUAAGUUCAAAAUUCUAGCUUUGGGAGCUAGAGAUAGGAGUUAAAUUCUUCUCUCUUUGA